GAUGAACGCUAGCGGCAGGCCUAAUACAUGCAAGUCGGACGGGAUUUGGGAGCCUGCUCCUAAUGAGAGUGGCGCACGGGUGCGUAACACGUAUGUAACCUACCUUAAUCAGGGGGAUAGCCUCUCGAGAGAGAGAUUAACACCGCAUAACAUAUUUUUAUGGCAUCGUAGAAAUAUCAAAUAUUUAUAGGAUUAAGAUGGGCAUGCGGAACAUUAGCUAGUUGGUAAGGUAACAGCUUACCAAGGCUACGAUGUUUAGGGGAUCUGAGAGGAUGACCCCCCACACUGGUACUGAGACACGGACCAGACUCCUACGGGAGGCAGCAGUAAGGAAUAUUGGUCAAUGUGCGCAAGCCUGAACCAGCCACGCCACGUGCAGGAAGACGGCCCUAUGGGUUGUAAACUGCUUUUGUACAGGAAUAAACCCUUUUACGUGUAAAAGGCUGAAGGUACGGUAAGAAUAAGGAUCGGCUAACUCCGUGCCAGCAGCCGCCGUAA
This 498-nucleotide ribosomal RNA is filed under the name uncultured bacterium. RNAcentral's name for it is "partial 16S ribosomal RNA". It matches the Rfam family "Bacterial small subunit ribosomal RNA", at positions 28 to 523 of the family's 1533-position model. The record is from RNAcentral.